RNAcentral lists this ribosomal RNA (269 nucleotides) under uncultured archaeon. RNAcentral's name for it is "partial 16S ribosomal RNA". It matches the Rfam family "Archaeal small subunit ribosomal RNA", at positions 478 to 747 of the family's 1478-position model. The record is from RNAcentral.
AGCUCUCCGAGUAGUGUGGAUGUUUAUUGGGCCUAAAGCAUCCGUAGCUUGCUAAACAAGUCCCCUGUUAAAUCCACCGAUUCAAUCGAUGGACUGCGGGGGAUACUGUUUGGCUAGGGGACGGGAGAGGCCGACGGUAUUUCCGGGGUAGGGGUGAAAUCCUAUAAUCCCGGGAGGACCACCAGUGGCGAAGGCUGUUGGCUAGAACGCGCCCGACGGUGAGGGAUGAAAGCUGGGGGAGCGAACCGGAUUAGAUACCCGUGUAGUCC